Molecule: ribosomal RNA, 912 nt
Filed under: uncultured beta proteobacterium
Lineage: Bacteria; Pseudomonadati; Pseudomonadota; Betaproteobacteria
Description: bacterial SSU rRNA
Rfam family: Bacterial small subunit ribosomal RNA
Source: RNAcentral
AGUUUGAUCCUGGCUCAGAUUGAACGCUGGCGGCAUGCCUUACACAUGCAAGUCGAACGGCAGCACGGGAGCAAUCCUGGUGGCGAGUGGCGAACGGGUGAGUAAUGUAUCGGAACGUACCUUUCAGUGGGGGAUAACGUAGCGAAAGUUACGCUAAUACCGCAUAUUCUCUGAGGAGGAAAGCAGGGGACCUUCGGGCCUUGCGCUGUUAGAGCGGCCGAUAUCAGAUUAGCUAGUUGGUGGGGUAAAAGCUCACCAAGGCGACGAUCUGUAGCGGGUCUGAGAGGAUGAUCCGCCACACUGGAACUGAGACACGGUCCAGACUCCUACGGGAGGCAGCAGUGGGGAAUUUUGGACAAUGGGCGCAAGCCUGAUCCAGCCAUGCCGCGUGAGUGAAGAAGGCCUUCGGGUUGUAAAGCUCUUUCGGCCGGGAAGAAAUCGCAUUGGUUAAUACCUGGUGUGGAUGACGGUACCGGAAUAAGAAGCACCGGCUAACUACGUGCCAGCAGCCGCGGUAAUACGUAGGGUGCGAGCGUUAAUCGGAAUUACUGGGCGUAAAGCGUGCGCAGGCGGUUUUGUAAGACAGGCGUGAAAUCCCCGGGUUCAACCUGGGAACUGCGCUUGUGACUGCAAGGCUAGAGUACGGCAGAGGGGGGUGGAAUUCCACGUGUAGCAGUGAAAUGCGUAGAGAUGUGGAGGAACACCAAUGGCGAAGGCAGCCCCGUGGGUCGAUACUGACGCUCAUGCACGAAAGCGUGGGUAGCAAACAGGAUUAGAUACCCUGGUAGUCCACGCCGUAAACGAUGUCAACUAGGUGUUGGGAGGGUAAAACCUUUUAGUACCGGAGCUAACGCGUGAAGUUGACCGCCUGGGGAGUACGGCCGCAAGGUUAAAACUCAAAGGAAUUGACGG